ACUACGGGGGGCAGCAGUGGGGAAUAUUGGGCAAUGGACGCAAGUCUGACCCAGCAACGCCGCGUGAAGGAAGAAGGCUUUCGGGUGGUAAACUUCUGUUAAGGGGGAAGAGCAGAAGACGGUACCCCUUGAAUAAGCCACGGCUAACUACGGGCCAGCAGCCGCGGUAAUCCGUAGGUGGCAAGCGUUGUCCGGAUGUACGGGGUGUAAAGGGCGGGCAGCCGGAGAGACCAGUCAGAUGUGAAAUCCACGGGCUCAACCCGUGAACUGCAUUUGAAAAGGUUUCCCUUGAGUGUCGGAGCGGUCAUCGGCUUUCCUUGUGUCGCGGUGACCUGCUUCGAUCUCAGG
Molecule: ribosomal RNA, 348 nt
Filed under: uncultured bacterium
Lineage: Bacteria
Description: partial 16S ribosomal RNA
Rfam family: Bacterial small subunit ribosomal RNA
Source: RNAcentral